GAAGAGGGGAAAAGAGAGUGUACGAACCAGUGGCCAAUAGAGAGGAGAGAGAGAUAAGGAGUGAAUAUGAUUAAGGGGACUUAAACCUCAUUGUUCUGGGCGCAUUUCCAUUCAAUAAAAGUUCAUCGGUUUAUCGGGAAGAAAAGACUAUCUGCUGAAAAAAAAAAGGGAAGUGAAGAAAGCCUACGAGAUUAUAUCCAGCGAUUUGUGGUCACUGUGAUCGAGAUUCCACAAAUGGAAGAAUCAACAGCAAUAUUUGCAUCUACAAACAAGUUAAGAGACUCAAGAUUUAGCUACUCGCUCUACAAAAGACCCUUGAAAGACUUGGAGCAAUUAUUAGAAAGGGCACAAUGUUGCCACGAAAUGGAAGAAGUCACGUCUUUGAAAUGUGCAUCAGAAGGGCAUGAACCAAUGGAAAAGAUAUAAGAUCAAGAUUAUCUAGAAUAGGAAGAGGAGAACAUCACCAAGUGAUAGUUUGACUUUCACAAAAUUCUAAGCAAUUGAGAUAUCGAAGUUUGAAGUGAGGAACUAAACCUUCAUGGUCAUUAAAAUAAAAGUUAUGUUGUAUCAUUAUGAUAAAUAUAUACACCUAGGCACCGAUGUUCGACAAACUUGUAAUUGCAAGGUCUACGGACUCAAUAAAGACUCACGAGGUCAAUAAAGAACCUACAUGUUUUAAUAUUUUAAGGUCUACGGAUCCAAUAAAGAUCCACGAGGUCAAUAAAGAACCUAAGAAUUUCAAUAUUUCAAGAUCUACUGACUUAGUAAAGACCUAGAAGGUCAAUGAAUAACCCAUGAAUUUCAAUAUUUCAAGGUCGAUGGACCCAAUAAAGACCCAUAAGGUCAAUAAAGAACUUAAGGGUUAAAAAUUUUCAAGGUCUAUAGACUCAUUAAAGACUUACGAGUUGAUAAUAAAAUACAUAAAUCUUAAAUGCAAGAGUCACAAAAAAAAAAAUCUAUAUCGAUAAAUUAGUAAAUUCUAUUGAUCAAUUUUAAAGAAAUUUAUAAGUUAACAAGUUAUAUGCCUCGGGAUGCAAUAAAAAGAUCCAUAUAUCAAUCAUUAAGGAUUUGUGGAUCAUCAUGAAAUAUGAGCGACUAAAACACUCUUAAGUAUAUGAACCCAAAAUUGCUCAAAGGUUGAUACGACAACUUGCAAAUUCAAAAAUGGGUGAUGCAACCUAAGUCUCCAGAUCAACACUUAGGUUGGGGGCAAAAAAUAUGGGUUCGUAAAUAUGGGUCUAUAAUGGGCCUGGAAAUGGACAUGGGUUAUCGUUCAAUGUACAUAUUAACACGUCCAACCGAUGGUCAGUGGCCGACAAAGCCUAGUUGCCCACUUGAAUAAGAAAAUAUGAAAAUAACUUCGUGUAUCUCAACCUUUACAUGUUAUCUUAGUUUUAUCCCAAUGUAGAUUUUUUUCUGAGGUACCCUAACAUUAAUUGUUUGGUUUCAAAUCCAUCCCACCGUAAAAGUUCCGUCCAUUUUUUACGGAAAUGCUGAUGUGACUCGUUAAUUGCUUGACAGAGUUGAUGUGGAGAGUGUAUGGGCCCCGAUAUAA
Molecule: non-coding RNA, 1555 nt
Organism: Punica granatum (pomegranate)
Lineage: Eukaryota; Viridiplantae; Streptophyta; Magnoliopsida; Myrtales; Lythraceae
Source: RefSeq, a predicted model, not a curated record